RNAcentral lists this ribosomal RNA (804 nucleotides) under uncultured Glomeromycotina. RNAcentral's name for it is "SSU rRNA". It matches the Rfam family "Eukaryotic small subunit ribosomal RNA", at positions 314 to 1114 of the family's 1831-position model. The record is from RNAcentral. Lineage: Eukaryota; Fungi; Glomeromycota.
AUCAACUUUCGAUGGUAGGAUAGAGGCCUACCAGGUGGUAACGGGUAACGGGGAAUUAGGGUUCGAUUCCGGAGAGGGAACCUGAGAAACGGCUACCACUUCCAAGGAAGGCAGCAGGCGCGCAAAUUACCCAAUCCCGACACGGGGAGGUAGUGACAAUAAAUAACAAUACGGGGCUCUUUAGGGUCUCGUGAUUGGAAUGAGUACAAUUUAAAUCCCUUAACGAGGAACAAUUGGAGGGCAAGUCUGGUGUCAGCAGCCGCGGUAAUUCCAGCUCCAAUAGCGUAUAUUAAAGUUGUUGCAGUUAAAAAGCUCGUAGUUGAAUUUCGGGAUUGACGUGAUGGUCGUGCCUUACGGGGUAUGAACUGUUGCUGUUGAUUUCUCACCUUCUGGAGAAACUUGAUGUCCUUAAUUGGGUGUCUUGCGGAUCCAGGACCUUUACCUUGAAAAAAUUAGAGUGUUUAAAGCAGGCAUUUUGCUCGAAUACAUUAGCAUGGAAUAAUAGAAUAGGACGGCAUGGUUCUAUUUUGUUGGUUUCUAGGAUCACCGUAAUGAUUAAUAGGGAUAGUUGGGGGCAUUAGUAUUCAAUUGUCAGAGGUGAAAUUCUUGGAUUUAUUGAAGACUAACUACUGCGAAAGCAUUUGCCAAGGAUGUUUUCAUUAAUCAAGAACGAAAGUUAGGGGAUCGAAGACGAUCAGAUACCGUCGUAGUCUUAACCAUAAACUAUGCCGACUAGGAAUCAGACGAUGUUAAUUUUUUAAUGACUCGUUUGGCACCUUACGGGAAACCAAAGUGUUUGGGUCC